GAAAUGCAGGCUUGUUGGGCUUGUUUUGAAUUUUAACCUCGGAUGGAAGAGCCCUAGUGCUGUCUGUCUCCAUGCGGGAUGAUGAUUGCUAGGCAACAGGUGAUUAUCAACCAACGAUGCCACGGUUAUACUCUGCAAGGUGGUGUUCCAGUGGCAAACUGCUGUGUAAACUCUUAUAAACAGGAACUACUGACAAUCAAAACCUAUAGUCAACAUUGGGAUCUGGCUUAAUUAUUCAGCAACUAAAAGAUGAGUUCUAAUUGGCAGACUUCUGGCACUGGCACUUGUCCUCCUGUUUCUGUAGAAAGUGGGUUGGAAGUCAGAGCUGCACAAAGGGAAAGGGUAAGUUUCUUUUAAUUCCAUAUUUAUAAACCCAUAUCUUAUUAACUAUGGCAUGGUGUCAGUUUCCAUGUAAGAAUAUACAUCCAGUGAGGAAGAUCUCAAAUAUAAACUACUAAUUUUCACUUGAGUGGAAACUGACAUCAAGUCAUUAAAUAUAAUAGGAGGGUUUAAAUAUGGAUUUAUUUUUCUUGUGACUCUGACUUCAAUUUCUUGAACAAAUGAACUCAACAUAACUCUCACCUUCAGUUAUUUUUAAAUUGGAAGCAUAAUACUGAUUUUUCUCCUUAGAUCUUAGUCUGUUGUACUUUUCUGGUAAGUGAAAAUUGGAAUUUAAAAUAUAUACAGAGGACAUUUAAAAAGUCUGCAUGAAUUAUAGGCCUUUUUGUAGCAAUCUAAUUCUCUUUUUCUUUACAAAGCAAGUACUGUACUACUGACCAGUUUUAGCCUCUCUUCUCUUAGCUAAACAGGAUGAGUUCGUCUGUUGGAGCACAUACCUUUGGUCUCAUCCAAGCAUUACAUCUCAUCUACACUCAUUAUUUGUAGACUUAAGACACCUGCCAAUUGGUGAGUCAUUUUAUUGCUGUAGCCUCAGAGGUCCCUGCUGCAGAGUUGCAGUAUAUAUGCUUGAAAUUGUUUGAAGUGUGACAAACUCCUGAUUUAUACUUUGGUAUAUGUAAAUAAUUUACAUAAAACUGACUACCUUCAAGAUACUGGAAACAAGACAUUCUUAGUUCUUGCUUUUUAUUUUUUUCUUUGUUUUUGUACUAGUGGGCCUUUUUUUGUUUGUUUUCUUGGCAGUACUGGAGUUUGAACUCAGGGCCUCAUGUCUGCUAGGCAGGUGCUCUUUACCAUAUAAGUUUGUUUUUGUGCUACUGGGGAUUGAACCCAGGGUUUUAUGCUUACCAAGCAACCUCUUGAGCCCUGCCUCCAGCCCAUCUCUUGUUCUUUAAAAGUAACAUAUCUUAUUUCCUCAGUCCUGACACACAUUACUUUUAAAGGCAUAGGUGAAUCAUGCCUGUAAUCAUAGGUACUUGGAAGGCUGAGAUUGGGAGGAUCGUGGUUUAAGGCAAAAUGGUAUGGAGAUGUGGCUCAAGUGGUAGAGCACCUGUUUGACAAGUGCAAAGCCUUGAGUUCAAACCCCAGUCUCACCAAAAGAAAAACAAAAAGUGAUGGAAUUCUUAUUUCCCUGCUGUAAGAACAUUGGUGUUGGUUAAUAUAAGCCAAAGAGUGGGAAACCAUGGCUUUAUUUCUGCCAGAUGUCACUUGUAAAAAUAGUAUAAGAAGCAAAAGUUGAAAGUUUGGCAGUGGGAAAGAUAAACUCAUUUUUAAAGAUUUCAGAAGUCCUUGACAAGUUCAUGCCUAAAAGUGGGUUCUAAAAAUUUUGUGUGUCUUGUUAGUUUUUGUUAUGCUAGGUGGGGCUUGCAUGAGGUAGAAUUGAAUUUGUGGUGGGUUUUUUGGUUUUUUUUUGGAAGGUGGUUAGAAAAAAAAACUAGUGUGCUGUUGUCUGCUGUCCAGACAUGGUCUCCUUAAUACUGGCUAACUUGUCUUGGUUUUAAAACUAAGUCUUGGGUCUUAAGAACUCCCUCAUUUCUGACUAAACCCUGACAGUUUAUCAACCUAAUCCUAGCUCAUUCUCUGCUUCCCUAAAAAGUCUUCACUAAGUUGACCAUCAUUUUGGAUUGAAGGAUAUACUAUAUAAAGAUACAGUGUAUUUCACAGUAUACUAAUAUACUAACCUAGAACUCUCAACAAUCCUCCUGCAUCCUGAGUGUUGGAAUUAUAGGUAUGUACCACCAUGUCUGGCAUAGGUUCAAGAAAAGACUUGUCUAUCAGUGGGAGAGGGGAGGGGGAAAGGAUAGGGUACUGAGGAGGUGAAGAGGAUCAAAGUACAUCAUGUAUAUAUAUGUUUGUAUAUACACACAUACAUGAAGAUAGCAUUAUUAAAUUCCUUAAAUACUAUGUGAAAAAGAGGGGGAAGAGAGACAAGUUAAAGAUACAUAAUAGGAUGUGAACCUGUCCAGGUUAUACUGUUCACAUCUAUAGAAUUAUCACAGUGAAACCCCUCAUUCUAUUAAUGUAUACUAAUUUUUAAAAGAGCAAAAAAGGGGAGAAAGGGAAUAAGAAAGAGAAAAAUGACUUAUUUUUCCUCAUGAUCCUCGGUAAUACCAAUUUACUUCUCAUAGAAAAAAAACAUGAAUUUUAAACUGGUUUUAAAAAGCUGAUUCCGAGUAUUUCAGCAAUUUUUUCAUUUAUGUGUAUAUAUUAAGACCAUAGGUGAUGGAUGGGAGAUGAAAGAGAGCAGUGGAGGGGGCGAAUUCAAGUAUGAUAUAUUUGAUACAUUGUAAGAAUCUUUGUAAAUACUCCAGUGUACCCCCACCCAGCACAAUAAUAAUUUAAAAAAUCCAUGUUAAAAAAGAAAAAGACAUAGGUUAUAAAGUGUGAGACACUGAGGUGGAUUUCUUUUUCUUUUUUUUUUUUUAGGAAGUACUGGGGUUUUAGCUCAGAGCCUCACACUUGAUAGAUAGCUGCUCUACCACUUGAGUCACUCCACCAGCACUUCAGGUGGGUAUUUGUGGCAAAUGAAUAGCCACAUGAGGCAAACAUACAUACCUAAGCUUGGCUUAAGAGAAACUCAAACCUUUUUAUAAAGUGCUGGGCUUUGGUGGGUGCCGUUGGCUCACACCUGUAAUCCUAGCUACUCAGGAGGCAGAGAUCAGGAGGAUCAAGGUUUGAAGCCAGCCCAGGCAAAUAGUUCGCGAGACCGUGUCUCGAAAAUACCUAACACAACAGGGCUGGUGGAGUGGCUCAAGGUGUAGGCCCUGAGUUCAAGCCCCAGUACUGGAAAAAAAAAAAAAGUAUUGGGCUUUAAUUUUUAUAUUGAGGUCUUGAGAGAAAUUACUUCAAAUUUUGUAUUAUGUCUCUUAAUUAAAAUAUUAAUAUGUGGGAUUUUUUUUUCUCCUAGAAAAGGGAUUUUGCAAUUAGGCAAAUUUAUUUACUAAAGUGCUAAAUUUUUGCAGACAAACACAUGUGCCUAGAUUAUUUGAAAAAUACCACAAGAUUAUCAUUUUAGUUCAUGUAAAUGUAAUCAUUGAUUUAAGUGAAUUUAAAGUUCUAGAGAAUUAUUGAAGAAGAAAAACCAGAGGCCCUGAUCUAAUUAACACUAGUAAUUAGAUUUUCUUGCAAGCAUGUAUAAGUAUGUGUGGCAGGGUGUGCUGAGGAUUUAGAUGGUAGGAUCUCCAUGCUGUUUUAUACAGAGUGACACCCCCUAGCCCAAUAAAUAGGUAUUAGGAUUGGCUUUGCUAAGAACU
Long non-coding RNA from Castor canadensis (American beaver), 3650 nucleotides. The record is from Ensembl. Lineage: Eukaryota; Metazoa; Chordata; Mammalia; Rodentia; Castoridae.